GCUUACGGCCAUACCACCUUAGGCACGCCCGAUCUCGUCUGAUCUCGGAAGCUAAGCAGGGUCGGGCCGGGUUAGUACUUGGAUGGGUGACCGCCUGGGAAUACCAGGUGCUGUAAGCA
This 119-nucleotide ribosomal RNA is filed under the name Gadus morhua (Atlantic cod). Lineage: Eukaryota; Metazoa; Chordata; Actinopteri; Gadiformes; Gadidae. The record is from RNAcentral.